ACCCACAAUUUACACCUAAGGGUAAACCGACCCGAACCAUAUGUCAAUGCUUAGCGUUGCUCCAGCAUAAAAUUCUCUUUCGUAGCAAAAAGAGGUUUAAAUGCUUCCCAGUGCAUACCUCCACCAUUCAUUGUAGGAGAAUGAGCCUGAACAAAUACAGCAGAUCCAUUUUUGACAGUCGUAGGAGAUUCAGGUAGAGCCUGAAAAGCCAAAUGAAAAGGUUGUUAGGAUUACAUACGCCAUGAGAUUUAAAAUGUAAUGACUGCAAUAAGUUGUAGCCAAGGAAAGUGAGCGUGGGCAGCUCUUAAUUACCUGGUAGCUUAUUACUGGACACGUGCAGUCUUCUUCAACUUCCUCUGGUGCACUCCCUGUGUUCCCCAUAGUUCCUAUGAAAUGGAGAAGAAGGAAAAGCACAAUUCUUGUUCUCAUUUAUAUCAGUUUACCAAGCAAUUCAAAUUGAGAGACAACCAAUGUCAAUAGACUUCAACAGGCUGUUUAAAUUCCUGAUAAGCCCCACCUGUUUUCUCAAAAGCACCUGCCCUAGUCAUCAGUGUUCCAGCCUGGUCACUCCUAGUGGCUCACAGCUACUUACUGGAAAUGCCAUGGAUUACAUUCUUCUUUCUUGAGGAAAACUGGAGGAGUCACACUUACACUGCUUAUCUGGACUCUUCAGAUAGGAAACAAUUGGGUUUAAUAGCAAAAUAAGGUGGAAAAGACUGAAUCAUAUGAAGGAAUUACAGCAGCUUUGUGGAGGUCUACAUUUGUGUUGUUGCUGUUUAAAUAACGGGAGAGAAAAAAAAAAAAAAAAAAAAAAGGAAAGCCCUCGAAUGAAACAGAACAGAACAAAGAAAAAAAGAAGAAGAAGAACAAAAAGGCACACAACAAAAGUCAAUAAUUCACCAACUGAAAACAAAACCUUGGAAGCUAUUGGAAUAGUUCUCCUUAACUUUUUCCUCCAGGCCUUAAGCAGCUUCAUCCACACCUAGAAGCAGCUUCACUCCAGCUCUUUCCUAAUGAAACAAUUACCUGCUGAAAAUAAGUUGCCUGUUCUCAUUAAUCACAGACGUGAUCACUCAGCUCAGAGUGUGACACUCACACUCAGUGCACACUGCCGUGCAAACUGACCCAAAUCCCUUUGUAUUCCUCUAUUUACAGACUGGCAGAGCCCACAUGUGGCAGCACGAGACCUGAAUCCCCGAGGGGAAGCAGACAGGCAGAAUGUCAUCCUCUAUUACCGCUGCUGUGACAGCAGAUACGUAACUCUUACCCUUGUGCACAUUAACAGAACGAAUGCUUGCAGUCAAUGGGAGCCUGUUUUUUGGCAAAGCCUUUACCUAGUGCUGCUACUGCAAAUUCUGCAAGUGGAACUGGGAGCAUUGCUGGUCACAGCCACUGGUGUAGGCAGCUGGACUGAGCACUGCUGUUUUACUAC
RNAcentral lists this long non-coding RNA (1432 nucleotides) under Coturnix japonica (Japanese quail). RNAcentral's name for it is "lncRNA (ENSCJPG00005007274.1)". Lineage: Eukaryota; Metazoa; Chordata; Aves; Galliformes; Phasianidae. The record is from RNAcentral.